Molecule: long non-coding RNA, 425 nt
Filed under: Mytilus galloprovincialis (Mediterranean mussel)
Lineage: Eukaryota; Metazoa; Mollusca; Bivalvia; Mytilida; Mytilidae
Source: RNAcentral
GUCAAAACUCUAAUUUGGCAUUUAAAUUAGAAAGAUCAUAUCAUAGGGCACAUGUAUACUAAGUUUCAAGUGGAUUGGACUUCAACUUCAUCAAAAACUACCUUGACCAAAAACUUUAACCUGAAGCCAAAAACUUUAACCUGAAAUUUGCACUAUCAUUUUCUAUGUUCAGUGAACCGUAAAAUUGGGGUCAAAACUCUAAUUUGGCAUUUAAAUUAGAAAGAUCAUAUCAUAGGGCACAUGUAUACUAAGUUUCAAGUUGAUUGGACUUCAACUUCAUCAAAAACUACCUUGACCAAAAACGUUAACCUGAAGCCAAAAACUUUAACCUGAAAUUUGCACUAUCAUUUUCUAUGUUCAGUGAACCGUAAAAUUGGGGUCAAAACUCUAAUUUGGCAUUUAAAUUAGAAAGAUCAUAUCAUAGG